This 76-nucleotide transfer RNA is filed under the name Pseudomonadales bacterium. RNAcentral describes it as "tRNA-Ala". It matches the Rfam family "tRNA". From Rfam's summary of the family: Transfer RNA (tRNA) molecules are approximately 80 nucleotides in length. RNAcentral also lists the same sequence under 9 other names. Lineage: Bacteria; Pseudomonadati; Pseudomonadota; Gammaproteobacteria; Pseudomonadales. The record is from RNAcentral.
GGGGCUGUAGCUCAGCUGGGAGAGCGCUGCGUUCGCAAUGCAGAGGUCAGGGGUUCGAUCCCCCUCAGCUCCACCA